GAUGAAGAACGCAGCGAAAUGCGAUAAGUAAUGCGAAUUGCAGAAUUUCCGUGAGUCAUCGAAUCUUUGAACGCACAUUGCGCCCAUUGGUAUUCCGAUGGGCAUGCCUGUUCGAGCGUCAUUUCAACCCUCAAGCUCUGCUUGGUGUUGGGGCCCUACGGUUGACGUAGGCCCUUAAAGGUAGUGGCGGACCCUCUCGGAGCCUCCUUUGCGUAGUAACUAACGUCUCGCAUUGGGAUUCGGAGGGACUCUUGCCGUAAAACCCCCAAAUUUUCUAAUGGUUGACCUCGGAUCAGGUAGGAAUACCCGCUGAACUUAAGCAUAUCAAUAAGCGGAGGA
RNAcentral lists this unclassified non-coding RNA (339 nucleotides) under soil metagenome. Its description in RNAcentral is "partial contains 5.8S ribosomal RNA, internal transcribed spacer 2, and large subunit ribosomal RNA". The stretch from base 1 to 121 matches the Rfam family "5.8S ribosomal RNA", at positions 35 to 154 of the family's 154-position model. The record is from RNAcentral.